AAUUUUUGUCUUAAGAAUAAACAUUAUUGAUAAGUUUCUUUCCCCUGCAUUCCUCGAUCGCACUUGUAAAUAGCACAUUGGCCUCAAGACAUUGGUACACUAUACGUUACAACUCUUGCCGUCAGUACUUAAAAUUGGAAAAAUAUUACAUAAGAAGGUUGCCAGCAAGAUGAAAAGAACAAUGCAGUUCAAAAGUUAAAAUGUGGAUAAGCUGAUGUACAAGGUCCUACUUUUGCAGAUUUUCAUAUUUUGCAUGAAUGAAUUUGAAGUUUAUAUCAUGGAGGGCAGAGAAAGAAAAGAAACACUUCAAUUUUCCUGCUUCUGAAGAAUAAAUGUAAAACAUCUUGUUCGAAGGAUUGAAAUUCAUCAAUUAGAAUAAAAGGAGAAAACAAAGAAACAAGACCAGAAUAAAUUCAAAGACAAAAGUCAGAUCAGUUAUUAUUUUCAUCACUCAGUCAAUGAAUUGAAGUUCUAUUAAAUAUCUCAAGUCAAAAGAUAUUAAAACCACAAUAAUGACAAUGUUCUGUGCUGAAUGGCCAAAAAGUGGACUAUACAUUACAAUCACACAAUGCUGGAUGAUAAGAAACUAUUAAUUUUUUGGGUGGAGGGAUAUCCUGAAAAAAAAUAGAUUUACGUAAAAAGCUACUAGUAUGUUAAGCCUAAUAAAAGAGUUUUCAUUGAUUUCAAAUGGGAAAAAAUUGUGUUUCAAAAAAGUAUUCUAGAAUUCAUAAAUAAACAUAUAUUGAUACUUACAUUA
Molecule: long non-coding RNA, 757 nt
Organism: Mytilus californianus (California mussel)
Lineage: Eukaryota; Metazoa; Mollusca; Bivalvia; Mytilida; Mytilidae
Exons: 3
Source: RefSeq, a predicted model, not a curated record